AACGAACGCUGGCGGCAGGCCUAACACAUGCAAGUCGAACGAGAAGCUUCUUCGGAAGUGGACAGUGGCAGACGGGUGAGUACCGCGUGGGGAUCUGCCCAGAGGUUCGGAACAACCAUUGGAAACGAUGGCUAAUACCGGAUAAGCCCUUAGGGGGAAAGAUUUUAUUGCCUUUGGAUGAACCCGCGUAAGAUUAGCUAGUUGGUGAGGUAAUGGCUCACCAAGGCGACGAUCUUUAGCUGGUCUGAGAGGAUGAUCAGCCACAUUGGGACUGAGACACGGCCCAGACUCCUACGGGAGGCAGCAGUGGGGAAUAUUGCGCAAUGGGCGAAAGCCUGACGCAGCCAUGCCGCGUGAGUGACGAAGGCCUUAGGGUUGUAAAGCUCUUUCGCUAGGGAAGAUAAUGACGGUACCUAGUAAAGAAGCCCCGGCUAACUCCGUG
Molecule: ribosomal RNA, 442 nt
Filed under: uncultured bacterium
Lineage: Bacteria
Description: bacterial SSU rRNA
Rfam family: Bacterial small subunit ribosomal RNA
Source: RNAcentral